GCCUCAGUGGUCUAGUAGUAUGAUUCGCCCUUCGGGUUAAUUCCCGCUUAUAUUACGUAAGCAUUGCAUGGGUGAGGUCCUGGGUUCAAUUCCCAGCUGGGGCC
Non-coding RNA from Ceratobasidium sp. AG-I, 104 nucleotides. The record is from the annotation of a GenBank genome assembly. Lineage: Eukaryota; Fungi; Basidiomycota; Agaricomycetes; Cantharellales; Ceratobasidiaceae.